UAUAGAGUCCGACUACUAUACUCUUAUGAGUACGAUCGUCCUCGUACUCAUAAAUUGUUUUCGAUGAUAGAGCUUCCGAAUCGACAAUCCACACCGUUAAACGUUAUUUAGGGCAUUUAAAACUUCUAGAAAUCAAAUUUCAUAAUUUUUCGACAUCAUUUAACUUAUGAUCAAAAGCUCACAAAAUUGACAAUUUUUAACUGCCGGUAAGGGAUACUUGCUAGUUUAACGGUGGAAAAGAAUCGGAAUAGGUUGAAUUUUUGAUAGAAAAUUCUAUUCACUACCUAGAUAAAGAUCAAUAACUC
Molecule: long non-coding RNA, 305 nt
Filed under: Ananas comosus (pineapple)
Lineage: Eukaryota; Viridiplantae; Streptophyta; Magnoliopsida; Poales; Bromeliaceae
Description: long non-coding RNA (ACOM_LNC041396)
Source: RNAcentral